AUUGAACGCUGGCGGCAGGCCUAACACAUGCAAGUCGAGCGGAAACGAGUUAUCUGAACCUUCGGGGAACGAUAACGGCGUCGAGCGGCGGACGGGUGAGUAAUGCCUAGGAAAUUGCCCUGAUGUGGGGGAUAACCAUUGGAAACGAUGGCUAAUACCGCAUGAUGCCUACGGGCCAAAGAGGGGGACCUUCGGGCCUCUCGCGUCAGGAUAUGCCUAGGUGGGAUUAGCUAGUUGGUGAGGUAAGGGCUCACCAAGGCGACGAUCCCUAGCUGGUCUGAGAGGAUGAUCAGCCACACUGGAACUGAGACACGGUCCAGACUCCUACGGGAGGCAGCAGUGGGGAAUAUUGCACAAUGGGCGCAAGCCUGAUGCAGCCAUGCCGCGUGUAUGAAGAAGGCCUUCGGGUUGUAAAGUACUUUCAGUCGUGAGGAAGGCGGCGUCGUUAAUAGCGGCGUUGUUUGACGUUAGCGACAGAAGAAGCACCGGCUAACUCCGUGCCAGCAGCCGCGGUAAUACGGAGGGUGCGAGCGUUAAUCGGAAUUACUGGGCGUAAAGCGCAUGCGGGUGGUUUGUUAAGUCAGAUGUGAAAGCCCGGGGCUCAACCUCGGAAUAGCAUUUGAAACUGGCAGACUAGAGUACUGUAGAGGGGGGUAGAAUUUCAGGUGUAGCGGUGAAAUGCGUAGAGAUCUGAAGGAAUACCGGUGGCGAAGGCGGCCCCCUGGACAGAUACUGACACCCAGAUGCGAAAGCGUGGGGAGCAAACAGG
This 769-nucleotide ribosomal RNA is filed under the name uncultured Pseudoalteromonadaceae bacterium. RNAcentral's name for it is "bacterial SSU rRNA". It matches the Rfam family "Bacterial small subunit ribosomal RNA", at positions 28 to 776 of the family's 1533-position model. Lineage: Bacteria; Pseudomonadati; Pseudomonadota; Gammaproteobacteria; Alteromonadales; Pseudoalteromonadaceae. The record is from RNAcentral.